UAGGGAAUAUUAGUAAUGGGCGAAAGCCUGAACUAGCAACACCGCGUGUGCGAAGAAGGCCUUCGGGUUGUAAAGCACUUUUUGAGAGGAUGAGGAAGGACGGUACUCUCAGAAUAAGUCUCGGCUAACUACGUGCCAGCAGCCGCGGUAACACGUAGGAGGCAAACGUUAUCCGGAUUUACUGGGCGUAAAGCGCGUGUAGGUGGUUUGGUAAGUAGAGCGUGAAAGCUCCUGGCUCAACUGGGAGAGGUCGUUCUAAACUGCCGGACUAGAGGAUGGUAGAGGUAGGUGGAACUCGUGGUGUAGCGGUGAAAUGCAUAGAUAUCACGAGGAACGCCGGUAGCGAAGGCAGCUCGCCGGGCCGGUAUUGACGCUGAGGCACGAAAGCGUGGGGAUCGAACA
This 402-nucleotide ribosomal RNA is filed under the name uncultured prokaryote. Its description in RNAcentral is "bacterial SSU rRNA". It matches the Rfam family "Bacterial small subunit ribosomal RNA", at positions 355 to 774 of the family's 1533-position model. The record is from RNAcentral.